UGGGGAAUAUUGCACAAUGGGCGCAAGCCUGAUGCAGCAACGCCGCGUGAACGAUGAAGGUCUUCGGAUCGUAAAGUUCUGUUGCAGGGGAAGAUAAUGACGGUACCCUGUGAGGAAGCCCCGGCUAACUACGUGCCAGCAGCCGCGGUAAUACGUAGGGGGCUAGCGUUAUCCGGAUUUACUGGGCGUAAUGGGUGCGUAGGUGGUCUUUCAAGUCGGUGGUUAAAGGCUACGGCUCAACCGUAGUUAGCCUCCGAAACUGGAAGACUUGAGUGCAGGAGAGGAAAGUGGAAUUCCCAGUGUAGCGGUGAAAUGCGUAGAUAUUGGGAGGAACACCAGUAGCGAAGGCGGCUUUCUGGACUGCAACUGACACUGAGGCACGAAAGCGUGGGUAGCAAACAGG
Molecule: ribosomal RNA, 403 nt
Filed under: Verrucomicrobiota bacterium
Lineage: Bacteria; Pseudomonadati; Verrucomicrobiota
Description: Verrucomicrobia bacterium partial 16S ribosomal RNA
Rfam family: Bacterial small subunit ribosomal RNA
Source: RNAcentral